UUUUUGCCAUUUCUUGGGCCACUCCCGUGGCAUAUGGAGGUUCCCAGGCUAGGGGUCCAAUCGGAGCUGCAGCCACCAGCCUACGCCAGAGCCACAGCAACUCGGGACCCGAGCCGAGUCUGCAACCUACACCACAGCUCACGGCAAUGCUGGAUCGUUAACCCAUUGAGCAAGGGCAGGGAUCGAACCCGCCACCUCAUGGUUCCUAGUCGGAUUCGUUAACCACUGCGCCACGACAGGAACUCCCUCAAGGCAUUUUUUGAGGCAAGUCAGUGGGCAGAACAGCCCAGGGAUUUAGGCCUCUGCUCUCAUCCCCUCGUCACUGAAAAAAUUAAGAUCCAACCCUAUCUCCCACUGUGCUCACCGAUCCCCACAGUAGAUCUCAAGAAAAAAAGCCCACGGUGUUCUGUGGCUUUUGGCCCAGAGCGCAUGUGGGGUUUCCAAGACAGAAAAGAUUUGAAACCUGGAUACAAAAGUCCCACAGGCUGGCCCCUCCCCUUCCAGGCUGGGUCAGCUUUCAGUCAAUGGGUUCAUCUGGUCCAGGUGCCGGAGCCCUGGGUGGACCCCGAGGACAGAGGCCCCGCCUGCCUGCAGCGGUGCCGAGUCAGCAGGGAAGAGGGAUCCCAGAAUAGGAGCAGCCGGUGAGCGCCCACUGCCUGCACACGCGGCUGCUCAGAAUGACACCCCGGGCAUACAGGUACAGAGCAGAUAGCAAUUUUCCUUUUUACUUAUUGGUGCAAGGCCAGUCAGAGAGGCUGACAGGGCCCCAAACAAGCUGUCAGGAACUUCUAAUUAGGGCUGAGCAGCUUCAAGAGUGCACACGCCCUCCAGCCUCAGAAUUAGCAGGACAAAGUGCCGAGAUGGAGUCAGACAGGCUGAAAGACGGUGGGGCUGGAAGGGGAGGGAGGCGGGGAGCCAGGGGCUGCAUCACGCGUGGGCUGAGCUCCCCUUUCCAGGAAAGCACCUCAAUAAAGACAGAAGCCUGGAGCACAUCUCCUGUGCCUCGGAACUCCUCUCUGCCUCCUUCUUGAGUCCCAGUCAUUCGCUGAGUCCCAGGGAGGCAGCAGAGUGGUGUUGAGCUCGUGCACCUGAAUCAGCCAGACCUAGAUUCCAACCCCGACUCUCCUGCCCUCUGAAUUCCAGCUUCCUCUCAUACCUUGAGUGGUGUGAGCGCCUCAGCAGAGCUCCGGACACACAGUAAGUGCUUAAGAAAGACGUGGCCUCUGUUACAUCCUGGCAUCAUUCCCAUGAAGACCUUCACUGUCGUAACCACAAUAAUCACCACCACUGACUGUGCACUGAGCACCACUGCUAAGCAAGCUGGGUGCUGUUGCCCCAAGCGAGGCUCUAGCCACUGGCCCAGGGCUGACCAGCCUGAAGAGCUAUUGCCCUGAGCCAAAAUGGGUCCCCCUUACUGUCUGCUGAUGGGUCCUGGUCUUCCUCUUGGAGAUGCGGGGUCAGUCCAGGCCUUGACCGUGUGCCAGUCCUCCCGCUGUCCGAGGACCGUCACCACCCCUGCCCCGACUCAUCUCCAGUUAUUCCAACGGAUCCUCAUUGGCUGGGAUAUUAGUUAGCUAGUUGGUUAUGACAGUCAAAGGUGGUUCUGGACUUCACUCCCCUGACCCCCGUCUUUCUGCCAUAGCCAGUGUCAUUUUGUCAAUGUCCUUUUAAAGACACGAGCCUGGCAUGCAUAGCUCUGCACUGACUGGCCUGUCACCGCCCAGAGCUCUCUUGGGAGCCUUGUCACCCCAUUGAUUUAGGACAAGAUGCAGCCAAUGAAACCCCUAAGAAUUUUUCCAGACAUGCCACCGACAAGCCUCAUACCCUAUCCUGUCUCAAUACCCUUGGACUCUAGAAACAGUAGUUCCCCUGUCUUCCUAGCAGAUUUCAUUUCAUGUUCUGCCCAUAAGUCUAGCCUACUGAAAUUAUAUCACGUUUCUUUCAUAGCAAGGAGUUAAGAUCAUAGACUCUGGGGUCCCAUAGCCUGGUUCUGCAGCUGGCUACCUGAAGCUCUCUGUCCUCAGGUUACUUGUCUGUAAAAUGGGAAUAAUGAUUUGAUCCUCCUCAUCGGGAUGCUGAAAAAAAUGAAAUGUUAACACAGGCCCUGUGUCGAGAAUAGAGCCUGACACACGGGAAAGCUAUAGGGUAUUAGCUAUCAUUUUUUUUUAUUACUACUGCACGAGGUAUUUAUUACCCCCUUGUAGCUUGAGGUCACUCACGAAUCUUAUUCCGUCUGUCCUCCACAUCUUCACCAAAGGCACCGAGAACACCUCUCGAAAAGAUCAGGGGAUCCCCAGGUCCUGAGAACUUGCCCUCCAGAUUGAUCUCAGUCGUUAGGGAUUCCUUCUCCUCAGUCUUUGUCCUGUGAUAUAGCACCCAGCUCGUCCACAGGGCUGCCACAAAGUGCCUCACUGAAAUCCUCGUCCUAUAGCCAGAACAUUCUUUUGACCUACCGGUACUUCACAAAAGAAAAAGAGGCCCAUCUCCAGUGAGCCCACCCUCGCUUGGCUUCGCAUCCUCAGUCGUCUGCAUCCCGUCUGUGCUAGAAGCUUGCCCGGGGCCGCCAUGGAGCCCUCCGUGGGCCAUCUGCCGCCCUCUCCCUCGAAAAGCUGAACGACAUUUGCCUUUCUCCCCCCACGGCCCUCCCGCCACGUCUGCACAGGUCCCCAGGGAGGCCUGGGGUGAUUCGGCAAGCUCACCCGAGCAUCGCCCCACAGCACCCACAGGGUGACCUCCCCAUGGCUUUGUGCCACCGUGGGCUCCCUCAGACCAGGCCCUUCUGUCCCAGCCAACCAUCCUUCCAUCAGACAGGGUGUGGCCCUGCUGCCAGCCCUCUAACUCCCAUGAAUGUCCCUCUAACCAGCCACACCAUCGGACCACCUGCAUCUUGUCCUUGCUACAAAAGCAACUCAUACUAGAGUCCCUUCUUAAGGGCUUAAUGUCAUAUUUUUCCCCUCAUGGCUCACCUCGCCUGUGGCUUAGCCUUCCUGACCCUUGCCUCGUGGAGCACAACCCGCCGACCCCCCAGGGCUUCUUCCAGCCUGUCGAGAAUGUGAAUCCCUUGGGGGCUGCAUGUCCAGUGCGGAGGCCAGGGGCGGGGUUACCUGAGCCCCUGGUCCUGCUGGGUGGUGAACAGGCAUCGUCGCCGGGCACCGCAGGAGGUGAGGUGGCACUCUGGAGCAGAGCAGAAGGGAGCGUGAGGAAGAGGGGGCUGGGCCGUGGAUGGUGAGGGUGGGAGGCAGGAGGCCCCCGCAGCCUGGAGCUGUCACACGGGCCUCAUCUGUCUGCACACUGGGGACACGCUGCAGCUCCCCGCUCCCCGGGCCCUCCUGCUACUCUUUAUUCAUUAAAAUGCUCAGAUGCCGACUAACUUUAUUUGCUCAGUAUUUAUUUCGCUGGCCUUGAAGCGGGAACAACAGGCAGCUUGAUUGAAAGGUUGUCUGGUUUCAUUGUGGCUCCUGUAAGUAAUUCCACAGCCUCGGUGGAAAUGGUAUUUUAUAACUUGCCAGAGCAGAUAUCCCUUAGUGAAUUGGGACAGAUAUUCCUGCGUCACCCAAACUGUCUUCUCCCUGAUGUUCAGGCCUCUAGAAUCACUGCCCCCCUCCCCAGCCCCAUGACCUGGGCUCCUCCAGGGCUACUCAGAGGGAUGUUGGAGGAGCACAGAGCCAGUCUCCCUGGCAGGUGGCAGCCACCCUCUGCCACCCCACACAGGCAGAGGGGACACGGCCAGAAAUGCAGCAUGAGGGUUAGACCUGGGCUCACUCCAAAGGGUGAGACUCCAGAAUGGGGACAUGGUGAUAGGGGGACAUGGCGAGGCAGUGACAGUGUGACUUUUCCUUUCCUGGAAGCCCCCAAAGGCCAGGCUGGCAGCAUUGGCCCAGUCCUGCCUGGAGAAAUGGAAAGCUAAGAUGCCUCCUGGAAAGCAAUAAAAAUAGGAGGAAUCAGAUUCCACCAGCAGCUCCCCUGCUUCCCCCUCCAACCCUGCCUGCCUCCCUCCCACUGGGAGGUCCGGUAGGCAGAGUGUGUCCCCAGGCACAGCUGGGCAGGGUUCUCCAGGGGAGGAGGGGGCAGUGGCCGGGCCCUCACACCACUGUAUUCCCUUUGCCCCUUGGAGGACAGAGGCUUCUCAGGCAGAGCAGAUCUCUUAUGCCUUGGGGCUCCCAGUGAGCUCCCCGUGUGCCCAGGACAGCCCUGCCCUGUCUCUGAACCUGCAGCACCGCCUUCCACAGGGGCUUUGGAAGGUUGGCGCAGAGCAGAGGGAGCUCCGUCUCCUUCCCCGAGAGCGCUGAUUGCAGCUCUGAUCGCGGCCCGGCAAUCACCUUCUCCUUACUAUUAUGACUAAAUCAAGUUGGGUGAUUUAUUUCCCACUUAUCUUUCCCGCUUCCGCUCCCUGUCUGAUCCGCACUGUUGAACACACCAGAGUGAAAACAGAUCAUCCGUUCCGAUCAGCAGCUGAGGAGUUGAAAACCAUACCCCUCCUGCUGCCUUGGGCAGGGGGGGCUCUGCAGCAGUGGGGGAGACUGGGCUGGCCCCAGACCCCAGCUUCAGUGGGCAGGAGGAGGAGUGUCAUGGCUUUGGGAGCCUCUGCAGAGGAAACGGGCCACCACGAUGCUAAAAAACAGCAAGGGAGUGAGCGGUGGUAGCUGGCAGCAGGCAGCGGGCCUCACCUUGAGGCAGUCCCACUCCCCAAGGCUUCACACCGACCAGGCCUCUCUCACUGUUCCCCUCUCCUGUACCAGUGGGCCUUGAAGGUCCUGCAGCCGGGCCUGACCCAUCAGCCCCACAGGUUCCCUGCCCUGCCCUCUGGGCCCAUGUUUAGUGGACAGAAGAAACCUAGCCAUGCCUGACAUCCUCCGCCUGGGCUCCUGCAGCCGGGCUGGCCACCUUCUCUGGACACGCCACCCCUGGAGUGGAGGGACUGCAGUCCACAGGAUGUCACUGCCUGCUUUAGGAGGUGGCAUUUACCAGUAAGCCAGAUUCUUCCGUGUUUGCAGAAAGGGAGGAGGAACAUUACCUUGGGGGCAGUGCUGUUGUUGUUGGCAGAGCAAAAAUCACUUGGGUGCCUUAUCUUUAUUUCAUAUUAUAUUUUGUAUUUAUUUACAUAUAAAUAAUAUUUGUAAAUACUGCCUGGGAUACUCCUGACCCAAGCAAAGGAUGCAUCAAGAUGUCUUCUCUGUUUAUUCGAAAAGCUGCCUCUCCAGGUGUACAGACUGUGUGAAGGUGGGCCAUGCAGAGCAGGAACUCAAGGGCCUUCUGGGUGGGAGGGAACCAAGACUUAAACUUUUUCCCUAUAAGGGCUAAGAUUGAAGCCAUCUGUUGAGUAAGCUAGGGUGGCACUGCAGGAGUUCUGAUGGCAGGAUAGGACCCCAAGGGCCACAACAGGAGACUCACAGUGAGGGAACUGGGCAGCAGGGCUGGUGACCUAAGCAACCACCAGUAUUGGAAUAAGCUUUGGGAAUGAUGGUGGGACCAUGACCUUGGAGCCAAGGCGUGGAUCCUUGGACCUCUGGACUUGUAAGGGAGCUGGACCAACAGAAACAACCCAUAAGAACAAGAAACCUUGGAGGUAGCAGCCAAAGCAAAGCAUGGCAUAUUGUAUCCUAGGAGGCCUUCAGCUUGUUAUCAGGCACAUAGCUUUCAAUAAAGGUUGACUCAUUACUGAUGAGGCUAGUUGAUAGUCUUUGAGUGUGAGCUAUGUGCCAGAUAAUUCCAUACCUUCAACAAUAAUUGAAUCAUUUAAUUCUAAAAACUAUUAAAUAGGAACUAUUCUUGCCCCCAACUUUAUAAAUAAAGAUACAGAGGCACAGAGAGAGCAAUAAUUUAUUCAAAGUCACAAAACCGGGAUUUGAAUCUAGGCUCACUGUUACUAUGUUGACAAUGAACGUUAUCUAUUGUUCCCUACUCCAAUCACCAAGAUCAUAUUAACCCUUUGAAACACUGUUGAAAGGGUUAAGAGGAUCCAUAGAUUAUAGAGAAGCCUCAGGAAAACGGUGGGUCACUACCCAGGAGCUGACAAUGAUCCCAACACCUUCCCUCUGUCCUUACCUCCCCCAGAACCUCAUGUAAAACCCUCUUUCCAGAAACAAUGGAUUCAUUUACUCUAAGUUAGGUGUGACUGCAGAGUUUAGCACAUUACUUCUCCUGAUCUCUACGCCUUUUAAUUUGG
RNAcentral lists this long non-coding RNA (6166 nucleotides) under Sus scrofa (pig). RNAcentral describes it as "lncRNA (ENSSSCG00065021738.1)". The record is from RNAcentral. Lineage: Eukaryota; Metazoa; Chordata; Mammalia; Artiodactyla; Suidae.